RNAcentral lists this long non-coding RNA (785 nucleotides) under Vulpes vulpes (red fox). RNAcentral's name for it is "lncRNA (ENSVVUG00000014551.1)". Lineage: Eukaryota; Metazoa; Chordata; Mammalia; Carnivora; Canidae. The record is from RNAcentral.
AUUGUUCUGCAAUUUGUUGGAUUGGGGUUCCCUGGUUUGAUGAUAUCAGCCUGUGUCAUCUUAUUUAGAUUCCCCAUCUGAGCUGAUUUGCAUCAUCCUUGCUGAUUUGCAUAGCACCAUAUGCUGCCCCGACUGAAUCUUUGCACAGUAUGAAAUAAUUCCUUUUGACAAGAUAACCACUAUUACAGCAGAUCACAGGCUCCAGCUCUGAAAGGAGAGGAGUUAAAGAAGGGUCUCACAGAGGCUGGAGAGGACCGUGCCUGUACACUGUGCUUUAAGACCAUAUUCAGAUACACACCUGUGGUUUCUCAGUAUGUCCUCUCUCACAUCGGAAAAUUUGAUCAGUAAGGUAAUUUUUAACCUAAACAAUUUGUACCCUUCUCAGUGCUAUAGUUGUUCUUAAAUAAUACAUCUAAAUAUUAUGUUUUUUUCUUUAAUUUUAUGAGAAAGUUGUCUUACAAAGGAGGAAGGAGAGAAAAGAAAAUAUUAAACACAGCACUGCCUCGAGUCCAUUAGAAUUCACAACACUGGUAUUAAAAUUUUGCCUCAUUAAUGGAAACUGAGCUACAUUACAAUUCAAAUUGAAGUUUAAACUGAGAUCAUCUCAACCAAUGGGAGAUACGUGAUAAAGCAAGUAUAUUAAAGAUGUCAAUGGUGGAGUGCCUGGGUGGCUCAGUCAGUUAAAUGUCCAACUCUUUAUUCGGGCUCGGGUAGUGAUCUCGGGGUUGUGAAAUGGAUCCCUGUGUCAGGCUCUGUGCUGGGCAUGGAACCUGCUUAAGAAUUUC